GAUAAACGCUGGCGGCGUGCCUAAAACAUGCAAGUCGUACGGGCAUCCUUCGGGGUGUCAGUGGCGGACGGCUGAGUAACACGUGGGUGACCUGCCUUCGCGCGGGGGACAACCGCCCGAAAGGGACGCUAAUACCGCAUGAUGUCCUGCCUUUUAAGUAGGUGGAGAUCAAAGCUGGGGAUCGCAAGACCUGGCGCUGAAGAGGGGCCGCGUCCGAUUAGCUAGUUGGUGGGGUAANGGCUCACCAAGGCAACGAUCGGUAGCCGGCCCUGA
RNAcentral lists this ribosomal RNA (273 nucleotides) under uncultured bacterium. RNAcentral's name for it is "partial 16S ribosomal RNA". It matches the Rfam family "Bacterial small subunit ribosomal RNA", at positions 28 to 296 of the family's 1533-position model. The record is from RNAcentral.